Long non-coding RNA from Capsicum annuum, 1629 nucleotides. RefSeq lists it as uncharacterized. The record is from RefSeq and is a predicted model, not a curated record. NCBI's taxonomy places the organism in Eukaryota, Viridiplantae, Streptophyta, Magnoliopsida, Solanales, Solanaceae. The transcript has 2 exons.
UGAACAGAAUAGAUUAACUCCUAAAUUAUUCAUGAAACAAAGCGUACAAAACUCAUUAACACUAAAUAAUCAUCAGCCUGUAUAAAGGAAUAAAACUCAAUUCAAGGAUGUAUUGAUAUAAAAAUUAAAAGGAAUAAAUUUUAUCGAGGAAAAAAGAAUAAGCAUAUGCAGGGAAAGUGCCAAAAUUUUGAAGCAGAGAGACUAAUAUGAAACGAAGAAAAGGAAGACUCCUCAAUUUUCGAGUUUUAAUGAUUCUUUAAAGAAUUCACGGAAGAUUUUCGUCCUUGAACUCUUGUUUUCGUCCUUCUUGGAUCUCACUCGCCAACCGCCGCCAACCACAAGCGACCACCCUGAACAGCCCACCAGUCACAAAACCAGCCGACACCCUCACUUUCUCACCGGUGAGACUGCACUACUCUCACCCUCGUCGGUAGAGCACCAUCCUCACCGAUAUCCGUAACGUCGGCCACUGCCGGAGAAACCAACAGUUACAACCCCUGUCCACUUCCAUCUCCUCAAACACCGAUGAAGAACCAGUGUCACAGUCGACGCACCAAGCCAACGCCGAAGUUUCACGGACGAACAUCAAUUUUCGGUGAGUGACAUCGGUUUCUGGCGAGUAUUUCAGCUUUGUUCCUUUUUCUUUAUAACCUUUUUGUAGGUACUACAAGCCCAGAUCCGGUACUUCAAGCGACGACAUCAAGAUUUCGAUGACCAGCUCAUUUUCCGGCGACCAACACAUUCGUCGGUGACCAAUUAUAGGGACACAGUACCAGCAGUAGGGUAAAGGCAGCAAAUUUCGGUGACUAAUUUCGGCACUAAUUUAUCGGAAUUCGACAAAACAAUCAAGAAAACGUCCUUCACUGCGUCUUCUCCCAAUAUCAGGUGAUGCCUGGAAGUCCACAUGCUAUGUCAAUGCAAAAUAAUCAGCUGGUUGCAGCAAAUGCCCAACAACUAGUGGGCGGUACAUACCUCCACGACAUAUAUCAGCCAAAUACUACUGGACAACCUGCUAUGAUGAAUAAUUAGACCAUGCAAAGCAAUCAGAUGGAAGGCUUGCAUCCUCAACAAUUCCAACGUGAACAGCCAACGGGUUUAUAUCCACAACAAAUGCCUUCUGGUCAUAUGGCUUAUAUGUAUUCCCAACAAAUGUAUGUUAACCAAAUGGUCAGUUAUGAUUAUGGUAACCCUCAACAACAAAAUACUUAGUUCCUAGCCCAAGGAACGUCUGGGUUCUCUAUGACAAAUAAUGGUUCUUCUUAUCUAGUUUCCACUCCUUCGUAUAUGCCAUCUGGAAAGCCAUCAAAACCAUAAGACAAAUUAUCCGGGGACCUAGUCGACUUUUCAAAAUUCAAAUCAACCACUGGUGCUCCCAGGAGUGCUGACAGCACGUGACAGUGACUAGCUUAGCACCUUUUAUUCUUUUUCUUUUCUUUUUAACUUUGAUAUUAGCAUUCUAUUUGAUUCAUAAGCUUCUGUUUCUUAUUACCUUUGAUAUAACUCUGUAGUUGUGCGCCUCUUAUUACAUUUCUCAUUUUGCUGUAAUGAGUUCUCUCUAUUAUGUCUCGUUUGUAUAGUUUGGGGGAUGAAUAGUUCAGGUGGUCUCAAUUUUCGUUGUGUUUGACAACA